Molecule: non-coding RNA, 84 nt
Organism: Apiosordaria backusii
Lineage: Eukaryota; Fungi; Ascomycota; Sordariomycetes; Sordariales; Lasiosphaeriaceae
Source: the annotation of a GenBank genome assembly
GGUUCUAUAGUGUAGCGGUUAUCACUCUGGAUUCUGAAAUUCAGAAAUAUUCCGGCAAACCCGGUUUGAGUCCGGGUAGGACCU